CGAAACAUGGGGAAUGCUAGUAUCCCUAAUCCACUUUUCUUUAAGGGAAACAUGUCCAGCGGAGAUUUUGGUUCAAUUUUCUCUGAUGUAUUCUCAAAAUUGCAACCG
This 108-nucleotide small RNA is filed under the name Lotharella oceanica. RNAcentral's name for it is "partial transfer-messenger RNA". Lineage: Eukaryota; Cercozoa; Chlorarachniophyceae. The record is from RNAcentral.